GGGGUGUGGAAAGAGAGGGUGCCUCGUCAUUCAGAAGAGAGAGGAUGAUGGCACCCUUGGGGUCCGGCAGGACUUUAUUUAAAAGGGGUCCUGGAAGGCUGAUAGGAUUUGGCUGAACAGAAGGGAUAUCUACAAGGAGACACGUUUAGGAAACAUUUUGGAAAGUGCCUCACCAUAACAGCUGGAACUCUGUGGUUUUAUGGAGUAAACGAACACUGCGACCUUGCAGUAAGUGGAGGGUUUGUGUUAGCAGGAAGCUUGAGAAGGGGCUGUACGGGUAGAAUCUCCAGCCUUUGGCUGGUUAGGAACUUUUGAUAGUCGUUGUUGGGCAUGAUCUGAACCAAGUGGUAGAUGAGAAACUUGCGUUGAGCUGAGACAUAGUUGAGGGAUUGGAGGGGGAGAUCAGAAGCGUGAAAACCGUGGCUAGAGUGGUUGUCUGUGUAAAGUGAGGCAAGCUGAGACCGGCAGGGCCGAGUAGGGCCGAGCCGAAAAGGUAUUGGGAAGAAUCAGCAGGACAAAACAGUUGAGAAUGACUGGUGUGGGCUGCUGGGAGGACCCAGUCCCAAGAGGUCAGGCACUGCUCUUCCAGGCAUGUUCCAGAGAGGCUUUAAAUGAAGUAAAUAAAGAAGCUUCUGUUAAAAUGUUUGAUUAAAUACAUAUAGUGAGUGCUUUUAAAAUGCUGAUGGGGCAAGAUGGCAGAUAAUAUAGCAGUUUUAGGAGAGUUUAUUGUUUGAGGUUCUGGUGUAGAGAUUUGAUUCCCAGCACAAGUCCCAGUAAGUAAUGAGCCAUGUAAUAAUAGGGCUCUGCUCUUAAUUAUGGUGAGUACUCUCAAUGAAAUCGAAUUUUCUUAGUACCAUCCGUGGAAAAAAAUUUAACUCUGACUUUACAUAACAGUCCCAGAUAGAGUGUGAACUCUGUGGAUAUGGGAUAGUGACAGAAAAAAAGAGGAAACAAAUCUCCAAUAUUUGCAGAAAAUGUAAGCUCAGAUUAUAACAUAAAUAUAUGAGUGUUUGUGGCGGCUCUGUUGAAGUUGUUACUAGCUAGACUCUAAACCCCAGCACAAACCCCUUCCAGAUUUCAUCAUCACGACUGGUUCUCGGUUAGAUUUUGAGGAGUUCCCAUCGUGGCUUAGCGGAAACAGAUCUGACUAGCAUCCAUGAAGAUGCAGGUUCAAUCCCUGGCCUCACUCAGUGGGUUAAGGAUCCAGCAUUGCCGUGAACUGUGGUGUAGGUCACAGAUGUGGCUCAGAUCUGACAUUGCUGUGGCUGUGGUGUAGGCUGGCAGCUACAACUCCAAUUCAACCUCUAGCCUGGAAACUUUCAUAUGCCGUGCAUAUGGCCCUAAAAAGAUGAACAAAACAAAACAAAACAAUUCAGUUUUAUUGAAUUGCUUCUGCAAAUGAUAGUGGGGGAAGGGGAGAGAUUGCUAAUGAAUACUUUUCCUUUGUUUUUUUUAAGACUUUUUGGGGUAAUGACCAACUGUAUUUUCAGCUAGUCAGCCUGUCAUGUGGGUGUGGAAUGCACCUGCAGGUGUGAGGAGAAUUAGGGGGGUGAGUCCAUUGGAACAGUCCCCAGCGAGAUGCCCUGCACCAGGUUUUCUGUGGGCACCUGUAGGAAUGGGCAGCUCUCUCUCCCUGAGGCCACUGGGCACUGCCAGUAAGUGCCACCAGCCACUUAGGAAGAAAUCAUGUGUGAUAUUUAUGAUGGACGUAUGAGCGCUAGGUAUAACUCCUGGUUUGCCUUUCACAGGUCGGGUGACCGUCUGCAGAUCCUAGCCAUUGGAAAGAUGAGCGUUAUAACUCACAGGGUCAUUCUGGCCAGCCCACGGUGCCUGGUUGGCAUGUAGAGAAUGUAUUAUUUCUGUUCUCUUCUGGGGGCCUCUGGAAAGCAGACCGAGGUUUAAAAAGAUGUUGUCAAAAUUCUUUCCUUUGAAAUCAAUCUGUGUUGACUCAUAAUUUGAGUACUCCUUUAGUACAGUUAUUAAAUAUAGUUACAUAAUUAGCUCACACACAUGCCUAUUUAACCUGUGAGGGCAGAAUUUUGAUUAUGUAGGUCCCAUGGCUUAAGAAAAUGGGGUUUUCUCUUCAACUUGUCUUUAAACUAGAUCUCAAAUUAGCGGACAUUGAUUUCAGAAUUCAGCCUUUAGGAUUCCUCAGAAGUUUUUCUUGCCUUUCAUUUGUCGCUCCCUUAACAUCUCCCCUGCUUUUUUUCAUUUGCUCUUUUCAUGUUGUCAGGGUUUUUUGUUUGUUUUUACGUUUUCUCUCCUGAAACUUUGCACUCAGAGAUAGGAGUAAAGGCCUAUUUUGAGGCAGUAGGAUGGACAGUGUGCUUUCUUUCAUCUCAGUGUAUUAUUGUUUUGCUAACAUGCCUUUUUGCUCUGAAGAUAUAAAUUCACAACUGGAGAAAGAAUCCCAAACUUCAUAAUAACUCUGUAGUUUCCUGAGUGCUUAUUGUGUGCCAAGUACAGGGCAUUUUAGUACAUUAGCUGAUGUCUUCUCAUCCAUAGUGAAGAGACGAAGGCGCCUUGGAGAGUCAGGCCUGGCUGCUUGCUGUGACCGUGCUCCUGACCUGUUCUCUUGUUCCCCCUUGUUCAGUCCCAGGGACAGGGUGGUUUUUAUUAUCUUUAAAGACCUAAGAGAUCUUGGGGCCCUGACUUUGAUGGAUGGCAUUUGGCCUAUUUUAAUUACAAAAACUUAUCAAAUGUUAACAUAAAUUACCUGUGUCUAGUGGGUUCAUAGCCCCAAAUAGUGUCGUUUGGGGUCUUAAAGUGUGUUGAACUGAUUUUGAUGUGUUUAUAAGAGACAUUAUCACUGUUUGAAAAACCCGAUAGUGCUCUUUCCUCCCUGAUUUCUAAUUCUGGCAUCUAGAAUGCAGCUGAGACAAGAGCACGUCUGUGAGACAAACAGAGAUCUCAUGAGAGCUCAUGGAUUAACUUUUUUCCACCACAGCAGCAGGUUUUUCUUAAAGCGUUGUUUGAAAAUUAACAUUACUGAAAAUUUAAGCCUACCUAAAGGGAUUCUAGUUUUGAUCUCAAUUAUAAAAAGUAGGAAGACAUUUCAUAAAAAUCUGUGUCCCCUUAGCACUAGAAUGCUUUGGCUGUGAGUGGGAUAAGCUAGAAGUAAGCUGCCUUUGAUAGACGUGAGCGGUGUGUGAUAACUGUCUCUAUCUAUUCAACUACUUCCUGUUCAAUCUCACAUCGCAGCUGGAAAGCAAUUUCCUCACUUGACCCAUUUUUCUUCUGUAUUGUGUCUUUCUUCUGGUUCUUUAACAAAUAGUUUGAAGGAAUGGAGUGUCGUAAAGCCUUACACACUUGUAAGGUGAGGCAAUUCAGGCACCUGCUUUGGAAUAAGCAUACUCUCUUGUGUUUCAUUAUUUGGCUCCCUGGUUGGGCGGAUAACAGUUUUGCUCCUUUACUUUCAUGUCACUGUUUUCAGAAGAGAGAGAUUUUAAAGCUUGAAAAUGGUAGGCAUUUGAGUAAAGACAAAAACAGGUGUAUGGGGGUAAGGAUCUUGUUUUAGUAACAUGGACAAUUUAUGAAUGUUAUAAUUUUAGUAAGCAUAUAUGCAGUAAGUCUAGCAUUAAUAGAUCCACAUUGUAAAAUGCCUGUUUAUCCAAAGACGGAGGUCUCUUGGUAUCAUUGGCUUGUUACUGUUAAUGCCACCCUUAGUCACAGGUAUGACGUUAUCAUGUGAUAACUUUUGUCCCACACCCAUGGCUUAUAGAGUGCUUGGGUUGCCUUCUCUUUUUGCCAGAUCAAAUUCUAAAUGUCCUAACACACCGAACAUAACGCCAGUCUCCUUCUUGAAACCAUCUCUGACUUUACGUGUAUAAGCUCUCUCUUUUCUGUUUCUGCUCACACCUUUGGGGACCUCACUUAGCCCUGUGACUUUAAAUUUACCACACAUACCCUGAAGACUCCUAGGUUUUUGCUUGUUUUGUGAGGGGGUUUUUUGGCCAGCCUGGACUGCAUAGAUAUUUGCAUAUCUAGUUGCCUUCUCACCACCUGCACAGGACUGUUUAGUGAGCAUUUCCAGCCCACAGGGCCAGACCUGGCCCUGCUCUUGCCCCAGGACCACUCUGCCUGCACUCCUCUCUGUCUUCCUCGAGAGCGCUUACCCCCUUCUGGUCGCUCCAGUCUAAACCCUAGAGUCUUCCUUGGCUCCCUCUUUCUUUCCAUGUACAGUACAUAAGAAACUAAGAGAUUUCUAAGUGAUCCAUGGGUCAAAGAAGAGAAAUACUUGGAACUAAAUUUAAAAAACCAAAUACAACAUAUCAGAAAUCAUAUGAUGCUGCUAAGCUGUGCUAAGAGGGAAAUUUAUGGCAUUAAAUGUCUCUAUUGGAAAAGGAGAACGAUCUCAGAUCAGUAAUUUAAGCGUUUAUCUUAUUCCAAAAAGUGAAGAACAAACUAAACCCAAUAGCAAGUAAAAAGAAGGAGAUAAAGGUUAGAGUGGAAGUCGGUGACGUAGAAACAGAAAGCAGUAGAAAGGAUCAAUAGAACCAAAAUUAAUUGGUUAAUUGAAAAUUAAUUUCAGCCGGUUAAUUGAAGAUAUCAGCAAAAUUGACAAACCUGUAGCUAGAUUGACCAAGAAAAAGAGAGAAGAUACAAGGUACCAAAAUCAAGAAUGAAGAGGGGCGUUGAGUAUUGAUCUUACAGAAAUUAAGUUGAUAGUCUGAAUAACUUUGUACCAACAAGUUAGAUAGCUUAUAUGAAAUGGACAAAAUUCUAGAAAUAGGCAAAUUGCCAAAACUGACUCAAGAAAAAUGAAAAGUCUGAAUAGACAUAUAAUGAGUAAAGAAAUUGAAUUGAUAAUUAACAAUUUUGCCACAAAGAAAAGCCCAAGUUAUUUUGGCUUCAGUGGUAAAUUCUGUCAGACAUAUAAA
This 4880-nucleotide long non-coding RNA is filed under the name Sus scrofa (pig). Its description in RNAcentral is "lncRNA (ENSSSCG00060051427.1)". The record is from RNAcentral. Lineage: Eukaryota; Metazoa; Chordata; Mammalia; Artiodactyla; Suidae.